GGCGCUCUCUGUAACAUCCGUUAAAAUUGGAACGAUACAGAGAAGAUUAGCAUGGCCCGUGCGCAAGGAUAGCAAAACGCACAAAUCGAGAAAUGGUCAAAACGUGA
Small nuclear RNA from Neltuma alba, 107 nucleotides. The record is from RefSeq and is a predicted model, not a curated record. Lineage: Eukaryota; Viridiplantae; Streptophyta; Magnoliopsida; Fabales; Fabaceae.